RNAcentral lists this long non-coding RNA (673 nucleotides) under Apteryx owenii (little spotted kiwi). RNAcentral describes it as "lncRNA (ENSAOWG00000000332.1)". Lineage: Eukaryota; Metazoa; Chordata; Aves; Apterygiformes; Apterygidae. The record is from RNAcentral.
AGUCUGAACAUAACCAAAGUAAUUGGAAAGCACCCCUCUAAGCAAGGAAGACCAGGUGAGUGUCUCUGCUCAGCCUCGUGUAAUUUAGUCAUCUGUGCUGGCUGCCAAAAAGUGGAUUUCAUCACCUCCUUGUUAGGAAAACGCAUCUUCUCUGCGCAGCAUGUAAGACCGCCUUUGAGCUGCUACACAGAGGAACGGUCCCCUAGGGGAAGUCAUCCUGGUCAGCAGCACAGAAGGGCAGGCACAGACACAGAGCAGCGUGUAACAGCUGCAUGCAACUGCGCUCGCAGCACUGUGCGCUUUGAGGUGUGUCCUGGGGCCAAGGCACAGUCGGGGAGGGCAACAAGGAAGCAGUUUGGGGCAGGACAAUGUUCAGCUCAACCCAGAAGCAAACCGCAGCUGUGUGUCAGGCUCCUCAGUUCCUGUCCUGUCCCUCCUCCCCGUUGGGGAGUAGCUGCAUUUCAGAGUGCAUUUCACCUGAUCUCAACCCAAAUGCUGCUUGCUGGACUUGGGAGUGAAGCCUGCCUGGAAGUUGUGGUGGUCAUCCUGGCCUCUGGAAGCCGCUCCAGCUCUGCACAUCCAGAGUUUGAGGUCAUGGAGCAGAUGAAGCCUAGAAGGUGCUAUUGCGUUCACGAGCGAUGUACUUUUCUUGCAACUGGUCAAUAAAUGCAGU